UGGGGAAUAUUGCGCAAUGGGGGGAACCCUGACGCAGCCAUGCCGCGUGAAUGAAGAAGGCCUUCGGGUUGUAAAGUUCUUUCGGUAUUGAGGAAGGUUGAUGUGAUAAUAGCACAUCAAAUUGACGUUAAAUACAGAAGAAGCACCGGCUAACUCCGUGCCAGCAGCCGCGGUAAUACGGAGGGUGCGAGCGUUAAUCGGAAUAACUGGGCGUAAAGGGCACGCAGGCGGUUAUUUAAGUGAGGUGUGAAAGCCCCGGGCUUAACCUGGGAAUUGCAUUUCAGACUGGGUAACUAGAGUACUUUAGGGAGGGGUAGAAUUCCACGUGUAGCGGUGAAAUGCGUAGAGAUGUGGAGGAAUACCGAAGGCGAAGGCAGCCCCUUGGGAAUGUACUGACGCUCAUGUGCGAAAGCGUGGGGAGCAAACAGGAUUAGAUACCCUGGUAGUCCACGCUGUAAACGCUGUCGAUUUGGGGGUUGGGGUUUAACUCUGGCGCCCGUAGCUAACGUGAUAAAUCGACCGCCUGGGGAGUGCGGCCGCAAGGUUA
Molecule: ribosomal RNA, 547 nt
Filed under: uncultured bacterium
Lineage: Bacteria
Description: bacterial SSU rRNA
Rfam family: Bacterial small subunit ribosomal RNA
Source: RNAcentral